GAUGAACGCUGGCGGCGUGCCUAAUACAUGCAAGUCGAGCGAACAGACGAGGAGCUUGCUCCUCUGACGUUAGCGGCGGACGGGUGAGUAACACGUGGAUAACCUACCUAUAAGACUGGGAUAAUUUCGGGAAACCGGAUCUAAUACCGGAUAAUAUAUUGAACCGCAGUGGUCAAUAGUGAAAGACGGUUGUUCUGUCACUAAUAGAUGGAUCCGCGCCGCAUUAGCUAGUUGGUAAGGUAACGGCUUACCAAGGCAACGAGGCGUAGCCGACCUGAGAGGGUGGUCGCCCACCCUGGAACUGAGACACGGUCCAGACUCCUGCGGGAGGCCGCAGUCGGGAAUCUUCCGCAAUGGGCGAGAGCCUGACGGAGCAACGCCGCGUGAGUGAUGAAGGUCUUCGGAUCGUAAAGCUCUGUUAUUAGGGAAGAACAAAUGUGUAAGUAACCGUGCACGUCUUGACGGUACCUGGUCAAAAAGCCCCGGCUAACUACGUG
This 497-nucleotide ribosomal RNA is filed under the name uncultured bacterium. RNAcentral's name for it is "partial 16S ribosomal RNA". It matches the Rfam family "Bacterial small subunit ribosomal RNA", at positions 28 to 507 of the family's 1533-position model. The record is from RNAcentral.